Molecule: ribosomal RNA, 478 nt
Filed under: uncultured bacterium
Lineage: Bacteria
Description: partial 16S ribosomal RNA
Rfam family: Bacterial small subunit ribosomal RNA
Source: RNAcentral
GACGAACGCUGGCAGCGUGCCUAACACAUGCAAGUCGAACGGGAUUUCGUAAACAGCUGCCUCGGUGGAAGAUUACUAGUGGGAGUGGCGAACGGGUGAGUAACGCGUGAGCAGCCUGCCUAUCACAGAGGGGUAGCCUUGGGAAACCGGGAUUAAUACCGCAUAAAAUCGUAGAAACACAUGUUUUAACGGUCAAAGAUUUAUCGGGCAUAGAUGGGCUCGCGUCUGAUUAGCUAGUUGGUGUGAUAACAGCCCACCAAGGCGACGAUCAGUAGCCGGUCUGAGAGGAUGAACGGCCACACUGGAACUGAGACACGGUCCAGACUCCUACGGGAGGCAGCAGUGGGGAAUAUUGCACAAUGGGGGAAACCCUGAUGCAGCGACGCCGCGUGAACGAUGAAGGUAUUCGUAUCGUAAAGUUCUGUCCUAUGGGAAGAUAAUGACAGUACCAUAGAAAAAAGCUCCGGCUAACUACGUG